CAUUCAGUAGCUUGCUACUGUUAGGAGGGUCUGUCAGUCUGUAUAGUAUCACUACUGAUGAGCAGCGCGACCCUCUGUCUGUACCCUUGUCUUUUGCGCACUCAUGUUUCCUCGGCGGGGUUAUACCCGCCGGCUGGACAACUCUAUAACCUUUUUAAUUUUCAAUCAGCGUCUGAAAAACAUAAUAAUUA
Molecule: unclassified non-coding RNA, 191 nt
Filed under: uncultured Phaeosphaeriaceae
Lineage: Eukaryota; Fungi; Ascomycota; Dothideomycetes; Pleosporales; Phaeosphaeriaceae
Description: sequence contains ITS1
Source: RNAcentral